AUGUCGUCGACGUCAUCUGGCUAUGUCGCCAUCCCGCGUUGCCCGCUGAUAUUUGAUGGGGUAACUAUGCUGAGUUCGUUGGUUUUAUGCGCAUUCACAUGUGUGGCCUUCAUUUCUGGGGUGUUCUUUCCGGCGAGGUACCUUGUCCUCCACGUCCAGUUGCUCCUAUGGCUCCUACCCCACCGCCACCCGCACCGGCUCUUGCCGCAGAUGCUUCUGAUGCUGAUAGGGUUGUUGUCAGGGUUGCUACUGAUGACGCGGCUGCUGCUUAUGACCAACAGAUCUUGGAUUAUUCGAAUGCCCUUUCCAUUUAUCGUGAUGAUUUGGCUGCUUACACUGGGUAGUGUGAUGAUGAUGCUCGUGCAGCGGCUGUCCUCACUUCCAGUGUCCUACCUUAGUUUGCUUCUGAGUUUAUGGGCCUCAGCACUAUCUUUGAGAUGUGGGCUCAUCUUCACCAGCGCUAUCAGCCCUCUGGUGAUGCUCUCUAUUUGUCUGUGGUUUGUCAGGAGCAUGCUCUUCAGCAGGGAGACUCCACUAUUGAUGAGUUCUACACUCAGAGUCUGCUAUCUGGCGCCAGCUUGA
RNAcentral lists this ribosomal RNA (582 nucleotides) under Triticum aestivum (bread wheat). RNAcentral describes it as "partial small subunit ribosomal RNA". The record is from RNAcentral. Lineage: Eukaryota; Viridiplantae; Streptophyta; Magnoliopsida; Poales; Poaceae.